This 210-nucleotide RNase P RNA is filed under the name Bacteroidales bacterium. Its description in RNAcentral is "partial RNase P RNA component class A". It matches the Rfam family "Bacterial RNase P class A", at positions 144 to 367 of the family's 367-position model. Rfam says of the family: Ribonuclease P (RNase P) is a ubiquitous endoribonuclease, found in archaea, bacteria and eukarya as well as chloroplasts and mitochondria. Its best characterised activity is the generation of mature 5'-ends of tRNAs by cleaving the 5'-leader elements of precursor-tRNAs. The record is from RNAcentral. Lineage: Bacteria; Pseudomonadati; Bacteroidota; Bacteroidia; Bacteroidales.
UCGGGUAAGGGUGAAAACGUGAGGUAAGAGCUCACGCCGCCGUCAGUGAUGCCGGCGGGGGUAAACCUUAUGGGUUGAAAGACCAAAUAAACCGGGGCUUGAGGGCUGCUCGUCCGACCCGGAGGGUAGGUUGAUAGAGGCCUGUGGCGACGCAGGUCCGAGAUAAAUGACAACAUAGAACAGAACCCGGCUUACGGGUUUUCCUUUUUU